GACGAACGCUGGCGGCGUGCUUAACACAUGCAAGUCGAACGGACAGGCCCUGCUUUUGUGGGGUGCUCGAGUGGCGAACGGGUGAGUAACACGUGAGUAACCUGCCCUUGACUUUGGGAUAACUUCAGGAAACUGGGGCUAAUACCGGAUAGGAGCUCCUGCUGCAUGGUGGGGGUUGGAAAGUUUCGGCGGUUGGGGAUGGACUCGCGGCUUAUCCGCUUGUUGGUGGGGUAGUGGCUUACCAAGGCUUUGACGGGUAGCCGGCCUGAGAGGGUGACCGGCCACAUUGGGACUGAGAUACGGCCCAGACUCCUACGGGAGGCAGCAGUGGGGAAUAUUGCACAAUGGGCGGAAGCCUGAUGCAGCAACGCCGCGUGCGGGAUGACGGCCUUCGGGUUGUAAACCGCUUUCGCCUGUGACGAAGCGUGAGUGACGGUAAUGGGUAAAGAAGCACCGGCUAACUACGUG
This 468-nucleotide ribosomal RNA is filed under the name uncultured bacterium. RNAcentral's name for it is "partial 16S ribosomal RNA". It matches the Rfam family "Bacterial small subunit ribosomal RNA", at positions 28 to 507 of the family's 1533-position model. The record is from RNAcentral.